Molecule: ribosomal RNA, 496 nt
Filed under: uncultured bacterium
Lineage: Bacteria
Description: bacterial SSU rRNA
Rfam family: Bacterial small subunit ribosomal RNA
Source: RNAcentral
AGAGUUUGAUCCUGGCUCAGGAUGAACGCUGGCGGCGUGCCUAAUACAUGCAAGUCGGACGGGGUGGAGCAAUCCAUCUAGUGGCGAACGGGUGAGUAACGCGUUGGUGACCUGCCCUGGAGUGUGGGAUACCAGGCCGAAAGGCUUGCUAAUACCGCAUAACCCAACGGGAGACUAGAAGCCGGUUGGGAAAGGAGAAAUCCGCUCUGGGAGGGGCCUGCGUCCCAUCAGCUAGUUGGUAAGGUAACGGCCUACCAAGGCGAUGACGGGUAGGGGACCUGAGAGGGUGAUCCCCCACAAUGGAACUGAAACACGGUCCAUACACCUACGGGUGGCAGCAGUAGGGAAUAUUGCUUAAUGGGCGCAAGCCUGAAGCAGCAACGCCGCGUGUGCGAUGAAGGCCUUCGGGUUGUAAAGCACUUUUUACCGGGAAGAGGAAGGACGGUACCGGUAGAAUCAGCCUCGGCUAACUACGUGCCAGCAGCCGCGGUAAUAC